CCACCCUUACUGCGCAUGCGCAAACCUUCUACACUUCCCCUCUCCACAUCACCUCGCCCCUUCCCUUUCCCCUCCCUUAUCCCUCUCCACUUCCCCUCCUCCCCUUUCUGCCCCUCUCCACUCCCCUCACCUUUCCCCCUCUCCCGUCCCCAUCCCCUCCCCCUCUCUCAUUUCCCCCUCUCCACAUCCCUCUCCCCUUUCCCCCUCACCACACCACCUCUGAAACGCGGGCUCUACAUGCCGAAACACUGCUUCGCAUCGCCUCAUGGUCCCCUUUAGCGGGAGAUGGUGUGAUUUUUAUUUUAAUUGUACCUUGCAGUACUAUUAAAAUUAGCGAAACUCAAACCCUUUCACCCGGUUGAGGCGAGCAGAACACGUACACAACAGGGUGACCUGUCCCCCUCAUUUUUCUUCUUUCAUAUAUGCUUCCGCCCUUACCCAGGCAUUGGCAUGCUUCAGGAAGGUUUCGACUUGGGCUUGUUGGUGAUUCAUCUUGAUGGGAAAUUACGCGCACAAAAGACAGGGACACAAGAAGGAACAUAGAUGGACAGACAAAGUUGCCAUCAAGAUUGGCAUGCUUACCUGUUUCAGUAGCGGCUUCCAAUGCUUUAUUCGUAAGCGUUGCUGUGACUAGAUUUAUUCCAUCUGCCUAAGUUGCUUUCGUAAUAUGGCACCUGUCUGCAGUGUUUUCUGCAAGUUCUAAUUCAGGCUAAUAGAGUACACUGAAAAGAAAGACAAUGUGGUAGUCCCGUUAAAGAGUACUGCGAAAGGGAUGCUUAUCAUUGGUAGAACUGCUCUCCUUUUUGUUCCAUGAGUACUCCGUUAAUUGACAUGUCCUUUCUCCUUCAGCACACCGAGGCUUCGUCAAGGCAGAGCUGCGGCUAAACGUCGUCGUCGCCAUGCUGGAAUUGGCGAUCCGCCGUCUGGUCGCCCUCCAGCAGCCCCAGCAGUGACGGCGAUGCGGAGGCCCGGGGCGGUGGCACCCCCGUCAGUGCACCCGGCGGACGUGACGGUCUGCCCGGGAAGAGGUGCACGACAGCCUGUCACCGCCCCCUCCACCAGCCCCACGGCGCCCUCCGGCUGCCCCAGCAGUCACGGCGAUGCAGUGAGCGCACCCGGUGGACGUAAAGGUCUGCCCAGUGAGAGGUGCGCGACAGCCUGUGACCGCCCCCUCCACCAGCCCCACGGCGCCUUCCAGCUGCCCCAGCAGUCCGGACGAUGCAGUGAGUGCACCCGGUGGACGUAAAGGUCUGCCCAGAGAGAGGUGCGCGACAGCCUGUGACCGCCCCCUCCACCAGCCCCACGGCGCCCUCCGGCUGCCCCAGCAGUCACGGCGAUGCAGUGAGCGCACCCGGUGGACGUAAUGGUCUGCCCAGGGAGAGGUGCGCGACAGCCUGUGACCGCCCCCUCCACCAGCCCCACGGCGCCUUCCGGCUGCCCCAGCAGUCACAGCGAUGCAGUGAGCGAUCCCAGUGGACGUAAAGGUCUGCCCACGGAGUGGUGCGCGACAGCCUGUGACUUCCCCCUCCACCAGCUCCGCGGCGCCCUCCGGCUGCCCCAGCAGUCACGGCGAUGCAGUGAGCGUACCCGGUGGACGUAAAGGUCUGCCCAGGGAGAGGUGCGCGACAGCCUGUGACCGCCCCCUCCACCAGCCCCACGGCGCCCUCCGGCUGCCCCAGCAGUCACGACGAUGCAGUGAGCGCACCCGGUGGACGUAAAGGUCUGCCCAGGGAGAGGUGCGCGACAGCCUGUGACCGCCCCCUCCACCAGCCCCACGGCGCCCUCCGGCUGCCCCAGCAGUCACGGCGAUGCAGUGAGCGCACCCGGUGGACGUAAAGGUCUGCCCAGUGAGAGGUGCGCGACAGCCUGUGACCGCCCCCUCCACCAGCCCCACGGCGCCCUCCGGCUGCCCCAGCAGUCACGGCGAUGCAGUGAGCGCACCCGGUGGACGUAAAGGUCUGCCCAGGGAGUGGUGCGCGACAGCCUGUGACCGCCCCCUCCACCAGCCCCACGGCGCCUUCCAGCUGCCCCAGCAGUCACGGCGAUGCAGUGAGUGCACCCGGUGGACGUAAAGGUCUGCCCAGGGAGUGGUGCGCGACAGCCUGUGACUUCCCCCUCCACCAGCCCCGCGGCGCCUUCCGGCUGCCCCAGCAGUGACGGCGAAGUGGUGAGCGCACCCAGCGGACAUGGCGGUUUUCCCGGGGAUAGGUGUGCGACAGCCUGUCACCGCCCCCUCAACCAGCUCCGCUGCGCCCUCCAGCCGCCCCAGCAGUGAUGGCGAUGCUGUCACUGCUGACCUCAUGCGAACCAGCUAAUUACUGUUAGCAUUGACUGCAAGAAAAGAAGGCAUUGCAUUUUUAUAGAAAAGUAGACGACGAAAAAGGCCUUACGGUUUUUUUAACAUUUUGCAUGGAUGGAUGUAUACUGUGAGCCUGCCGUUUAUGAUGUGACGGUGACAUCUGCGGCACCAAAGUGGAAAGGAAGACUAGCUUUUUUUUUAUGUCAACCUAAGAUCUUGUCUACUCCAAUUUAAUAGACGUCGCUGUAGAAGAAAAUAAAAGACCAUAAAGUCAAAGCCCAACUCUUCUCCUUUUACGGUAAAAUGGUCUUAUUUUUCCCACUAUUUUUUUGCCCUUUCUCUACAUUUGUGCCACUAUUCGUCCAACUAUCUCUUACUUAUUUUUAUCACGGACGUGUUUACCUUUCCCUGUGGCUGUCUUAAGACCCAACGUUUCAGGUACGCUAGUGCCCAUACAUACGUGCGUGUGGCCAUCUCCACAUUCAGUUAAAACAUGAUCGGUCGUUCCCUUAGCUUCCUCAUAGCAUGUGCAUUUUUCUUUUUAGUGCAUCUCGCUUUAUAACUACGGGUUCUUAUCGUUGUCCAAUCUUGCUUCGAACAGUAAACCGUUUCCCCCUGAAUUAUCAUCAAAUGCCUCGCUCCUAAUCUCAUUUUUACCCUUUCAGUAGUUACUCAAUCGUUUCUUUUCCCAUUGCUGCUCUCCAAAGAAUCCUCCUCACCUCUCUGACCUUUCAGUAGGUGCUCUGUGUUGUCAUGUCGCUUGCACUGCCAGCCAUAUACCGUAUUUAUUCAAAUCUAAGCCGAUGUUUUUUUCGAAAAAACGAUGUGCGAAAGUAGGGGGGUCGGCUUAGAUUCGAGUAC
Rhipicephalus sanguineus (brown dog tick) is the source of this 3160-nucleotide long non-coding RNA. RefSeq lists it as uncharacterized. The transcript has 3 exons. The record is from RefSeq and is a predicted model, not a curated record. NCBI's taxonomy places the organism in Eukaryota, Metazoa, Arthropoda, Arachnida, Ixodida, Ixodidae.